AGCUUUGCAAAACAGUAGUAUCAUAGCCAAUGAGAUUUAUCCAAGGCAUGAUUAUUGCUAAUUGAAAACUUUUCCCAAUAACCAGC
Molecule: small nuclear RNA, 86 nt
Organism: Marmota marmota marmota (Alpine marmot)
Lineage: Eukaryota; Metazoa; Chordata; Mammalia; Rodentia; Sciuridae
Gene: U4
Rfam family: U4 spliceosomal RNA
About the family: U4 small nuclear RNA (U4 snRNA) is a component of the major U2-dependent spliceosome.
Source: Ensembl